AUGCUGUUUUACAUGGGAGGUAUUGGCCUCCUUCAUCCGCCGGAUUCGACCAUCCCCUUUUGUUCACCUCCGCCACCUGAGGCCGUUCACCACUGCCACCAGUUCCCGUUCAACACCGCCCGCGCAAUCUCACGUGUCAACGACACCCCUGUCUACCCCACGCGAAGCUUCAACAGCAGAUUAUCAUCUAUCCAAUACAGAAGGAAAAUAGAGUUGGGAGUGGACGACCUUGAGCUUGUCCAGCCACCUUCAUUGUGCUUCUCCAUUGUGUAUUGCACAGUACAUGUAUUACUACUAGGAAUGUUCAGAAAUCAGAACUCAAAGAAGUAUUGA
Molecule: ribosomal RNA, 333 nt
Filed under: Triticum aestivum (bread wheat)
Lineage: Eukaryota; Viridiplantae; Streptophyta; Magnoliopsida; Poales; Poaceae
Description: partial small subunit ribosomal RNA
Source: RNAcentral